RNAcentral lists this ribosomal RNA (303 nucleotides) under uncultured bacterium. RNAcentral describes it as "partial 16S ribosomal RNA". It matches the Rfam family "Bacterial small subunit ribosomal RNA", at positions 507 to 807 of the family's 1533-position model. The record is from RNAcentral.
AGCAGUAGCCACGGGAAUACGAAGGGGGCUAGCGUUGUUCGGAUUUACUGGGCGUAAAGCGCACGUAGGCGGACAUUUAAGUCAGGGGUGAAAUCCCAGAGCUCAACUCUGGAACUGCCUUUGAUACUGGGUGUCUGGAGUAUGGAAGAGGUAAGUGGAAUUCCGAGUGUAGAGGUGAAAUUCGUAGAUAUUCGGAGGAACACCAGUGGCGAAGGCGGCUUACUGGUCCAUUACUGACGCUGAGGUGCGAAAGCGUGGGGAGCAAACAGGAUUAGAUACCCCCGUAGUCCCUGUCUCUUAUAC